UUUUUUUGUUCAGUUUUGUUUCAAAAUAAAAAUCACACAUUGUUUAGAGAGACAAUCUACAACAGGAGAUACAAAAAAUAUAGUUGCCCAGGCAACAAGCACACACACACACACACAGGUUUCUGUUAAAACUAUACACAUUAUGGUUACAGAUGGUGCUCCUAUUCAGAUACACGCUGCUCCAAAUGUACACAUGCCGCUGCCCACCGCCGCCACAAUAGUCCUGGUUACGGACGGCGAGACAGGCGACGCCCGGGCCUUUACCGGGGGACAUUAUGAUACAUCACUUUUACAGGACUAUUAUUUAGGUACAAAAAAAAGCACACCACGCUGCUGCCGUCUUUUGUACGACCCAUGGUUUCACUGUACCUGAGAGAGCAGAGGGGUUCGAGGUAGACUCAGCCAUAUGACAUAGUACACAGUGGGAGCUACUUCCUGCUUCCAGACAUCAGUAAAAACACAAUUCAUAUAUUAUAUGCCAAGACCGCCACUGACGGCUCUUCUCAAUGUGGGCGUCAUGCCUCAAGGGAAGAACCAACAUUUGGUAGUCUUGGCAGAUUUGAAAUAGGCCGUUGUUGAUGUCUGCAAGCCGGGCAAGUCUCCCCGGUGUGUAUGACGUCAUAUCACUAAGUCAACCUUUAAACUCAUAGCCCCUCACCCCAUCCACUACCCUUAGACAAGGGGAAAGCCUUCCUAUAAAAUAUCUAAAAAUACAACAACAAACCACAGCUUCAAGUUAAAGCAGACUGCUAACAGUGUGUCUUGUGGUAUCGUUUACAACCCCCAAACUACACUGCAAACAUCUGACGUGUGUUCUGUAAUGUUUUGACUGCUACAGCACAGGCGGAAACCCCAAAGACACUUCUCAGUUGUUUAUGCUUCAGUCAGAUGCCAUGUCUCUCUCUCUCUCUGUGUAAUUUAAAUAGACUUUUAAAGUGUAAAAAGAGUCGCUUCACUACUGACAUGAUGUACCACGUCUCACUGAUUUCAGUGUUAACUGUGGCUAACGGACAGGGAGCGUUUGCAGUGCAGUUCGGUGGUUGGGAAGGAGGAGGUGAGUUCUGUUGAAGCAGUGAGUAAAAGUUAUAACCAGAGAGUGUUGGGGGGGGGGGGCUUUGUACAAGUACUACGCAGUAUAGAAAGGGCUUUUCAAAACCAAAAUUUGAUAUUACAAUUUACAAUAUACAACAACUCAUAUGUCACAACCAAAGAGGUGAGAAUAUACACUGAAAUGAAGAAGAGUUAAGAGUUUUUUUGUUUAUAUAUA
RNAcentral lists this long non-coding RNA (1267 nucleotides) under Salmo salar (Atlantic salmon). Its description in RNAcentral is "lncRNA (ENSSSAG00000108365.1)". Lineage: Eukaryota; Metazoa; Chordata; Actinopteri; Salmoniformes; Salmonidae. The record is from RNAcentral.